UUUGAUCAUGGCUCAAAUUGAACGCUGGCGGCUUGCUUAACCCUUGCAAGUCAAACGGCAACGCGUGCUAUUUUACUAUUAUGGCGGCAAGGGGCGAACGGGUGAGUAACGCGUAGGAAUAUACCUUAAAGAGGGGGAUAACUUGGGGAAACUCAAGCUAAUACCGCAUAAUAUCUGAGGAGGAAAGCUGGGGACCUUCGGGCCUACCGCUUUAAAAAUACCCUGCGUCCAAUUAGCUAGUUGGAGAGGUAAAGGCUCACCAAGGCAACAAUCGGUAGCUGGUCUGAAAGGAUGGACAGCCACACGGGGGCUGAAACACGGCCCAAACUCCUACGGGAGGCAGCAGUGGGAAAUAUUGGACAAGGGGGGGAACCCUGAUCCACCAAUGCCGCGUGUGUGAAAAAGGCCUGAGGGUUGUAAAGCACUUUCAGUGGGGAGGAGGGUAUAUAGGUUAAAAGCUGAUAUAUUGAACGUUCCCCACAAAAAAAGCACCGGCUAACUCCGUG
Molecule: ribosomal RNA, 506 nt
Filed under: uncultured bacterium
Lineage: Bacteria
Description: bacterial SSU rRNA
Rfam family: Bacterial small subunit ribosomal RNA
Source: RNAcentral